UCCUGGCUCAGGAUGAACGCUAGCUACAGGCUUAACACAUGCAAGUCGAGGGGCAUCAGGGUCUGUGCUUGCACAGAUUGCUGGCGACCGGCGCACGGGUGAGUAACGCGUAUCCAACCUUCCCCUUAGUAGAGGAUAGCCCGGCGAAAGUCGGAUUAAUACUCUAUGUUGUUCAAUGCGGACAUCUAAGUUGAACCAAAGGUUUACCGCUAAGGGAUGGGGAUGCGUCUGAUUAGGUAGUAGGCGGGGUAACGGCCCACCUAGCCAACGAUCAGUAGGGGUUCUGAGAGGAAGGUCCCCCACAUUGGAACUGAGACACGGUCCAAACUCCUACGGGAGGCAGCAGUGAGGAAUAUUGGUCAAUGGGCGCGAGCCUGAACCAGCCAAGUAGCGUGCAGGAUGACGGCCCUAUGGGUUGUAAACUGCUUUUAUGCGGGGAUAAAGUGAGGGACGUGUCCCUUAUUGUAGGUACCGCAUGAAUAAGGACCGGCUAAUUCCGUGCCAGCCGCUGC
This 512-nucleotide ribosomal RNA is filed under the name uncultured bacterium. Its description in RNAcentral is "bacterial SSU rRNA". It matches the Rfam family "Bacterial small subunit ribosomal RNA", at positions 17 to 518 of the family's 1533-position model. The record is from RNAcentral.